AGAGGUAGAGAGAGAGAGCGAGAAGUGCAGGGGGUGGUGACGGGAGAAUGGCAGAGAGAGAGAGAGAGAGAGGUAGAGAGAAAGAGAGAGGUGCAGGGGUGGUGACAGGAGAAUGGCAGAGAGAGAGAGAGGUAGAGAGAGAGAAAGAGAGAGGUGCAGGGGUGGUGACAGGAGAAUGGCAGAGAGAGAGAGAGAGAGAGAGAGAGGUGCAGGGGGUGGUGACGGGAGAAUAGCAGAGAGAGAUUGAAGAAGCGCUUGUAUUGGCAUUGCCACAAAGAAGGCACGACUCCGGUCUACCUCUUCUCUGAUUGACAGAUGAGGAGGAGGAGCGAAUCCAGACAGCUCUUUCUCAACCAAUUGCAAUGAAAGGGGGUUCUGGUUGCUGCAGCAACAGCACACCUUGGCUACCUAUUGGAGGAGCUGGAAAG
Molecule: long non-coding RNA, 428 nt
Organism: Oncorhynchus tshawytscha (Chinook salmon)
Lineage: Eukaryota; Metazoa; Chordata; Actinopteri; Salmoniformes; Salmonidae
Source: Ensembl